This 497-nucleotide ribosomal RNA is filed under the name uncultured bacterium. RNAcentral's name for it is "partial 16S ribosomal RNA". It matches the Rfam family "Bacterial small subunit ribosomal RNA", at positions 28 to 507 of the family's 1533-position model. The record is from RNAcentral.
GACGAACGCUGGCGGCGUGCCUAAUACAUGCAAGUUGAGCGCUGAAGGUUGGUACUUGUACCAACUGGAUGAGCAGCGAACGGGUGAGUAACGCGUGGGGAAUCUGCCUUUGAGCGGGGAACAACAUUUGGAAACGAAUGCUAAUACCGCAUAAAAACUUUAAACACAAGUUUUAAGUUUGAAAGAUGCAAUUGCAUCACUCAAAGAUGAUCCCGCGUUGUAUUAGCUAGUUGGUGAGGUAAAGGCUCACCAAGGCGAUGAUAUAUAGCCGACCUGAGAGGGUGAUCGGCCACAUUGGGACUGAGACACGGCCCAAACUCCUACGGGAGGCAGCAGUAGGGAAUCUUCGGCAAUGGACGAAAGUCUGACCGAGCAACGCCGCGUGAGUGAAGAAGGGUUUCGGAUCGUAAAACUCUGUUGGUAGAGAAGAACGUUGGUGAGAGUGGAAAGCUCAUCAAGUGACGGUAACUACCCAGAAAGGGACGGCUAACUACGUG